Molecule: long non-coding RNA, 581 nt
Organism: Notothenia coriiceps (black rockcod)
Lineage: Eukaryota; Metazoa; Chordata; Actinopteri; Perciformes; Nototheniidae
Exons: 2
Source: RefSeq, a predicted model, not a curated record
ACAUAACACCAAAACAACCACAGUCCAACAAUUGCAUCAAAAAUACACACAUUUCCCCCAGACCCCCCCAAAACAACCUUAAAACACGAAACCACAUCCAACACCACAGAGACUCCCGAAUCAUCCACACAUAAUUCCGGUUCCCCAAAACCACCAUAGUCCCUCUAAGGAACCACAUAACAUUAACAGAUCCCCAAAACCACCACCACAGCCAAAACCACCAGAGACCCCCCCAACACAACCAUUAACCCCAGAAGAACCGUAGACCGGUAGAACCUCCAGACCUCCUGAAACCACAGAGAGAACAUCCAGGUUCUCCAUCUGACCUCCUGCUUCUGUUUGUGUUUUUCUUCAGAUGUCCAGAGACAUGGAGAUUUUGUUGAGAACCACUUACUUUGGAGUUAUCAUGAUGCUGAACCCGGCUCUGGCGGAUGCUCCGAUCUCUCUGCAGAUCGCCGUAAACUCGCCCCCAAAAACUACCAUCAGAACGACCGGGGCAACGGUUGUCAUGACAGCCAUCGUCAAGGUCUUGUUGCUUCCUCCAGGACUGGCUCCAUUCCAGUUGAGCAGCAUGACCAUGG